Molecule: ribosomal RNA, 468 nt
Filed under: uncultured bacterium
Lineage: Bacteria
Description: partial 16S ribosomal RNA
Rfam family: Bacterial small subunit ribosomal RNA
Source: RNAcentral
GACGAACGCUGGCGGCGUGCUUAACACAUGCAAGUCGAACGGAAAGGCCCUGCUUUUGCUGCUUGCUCGAGUGGCGAACGGGUGAGUAACACGCGAGUAACCUGCCCCUGUCUUUGGGAUAACUUCAGGAAACUGGGGCUCAUACCCGAUAGGAUCUCCUGCUGCAUGGUGGUGAUUGGAAAGAUUCGGCGGUUGGGUAUGUACUCGCGGCUUAUGAGCUUGUUUGUGGGGUAGUGGCUUACCAAGGCUUUGACGGGUAGCCGGCCUGAGAGGGGGAACGGGGACCUUGGGCCUGCGAGACGCAGCAGUAGGGAAUGGGCCGCAGUAGUGGAGAACCUUGCGGAGCGAGGGGACGUGAGAUGCAGAAACGUUGCGUGCGGGAAGAUGGGUUUUGAGUGGAAAACCGAUUUGUACUGUGACGAAGAGUGAGUGACGGUACUGAGUAAAGAAGCCACGGCUAACUACGUG